This is a non-coding RNA of Streptomyces sp., 402 nucleotides long. It matches the Rfam family "Bacterial RNase P class A". Rfam says of the family: Ribonuclease P (RNase P) is a ubiquitous endoribonuclease, found in archaea, bacteria and eukarya as well as chloroplasts and mitochondria. Its best characterised activity is the generation of mature 5'-ends of tRNAs by cleaving the 5'-leader elements of precursor-tRNAs. Cellular RNase Ps are ribonucleoproteins. The record is from Rfam. NCBI's taxonomy places the organism in Bacteria, Bacillati, Actinomycetota, Actinomycetes, Kitasatosporales, Streptomycetaceae.
CGAGCCGGGCGGGCGGCCGCGUGGGGGUCCUGAUGGACCUCCCCGAGGAACGUCCGGGCUCCACAGGGCAGGGUGGUGGCUAACGGCCACCCGGGGUGACCCGCGGGACAGUGCCACAGAAAGCAAACCGCCCGGGGCUUCGGCCCCUGGUAAGGGUGAAACGGUGGUGUAAGAGACCACCAGUGCCCAGGGUGACCUGGGCAGCUCGGUAAACCCCACCCGGAGCAAGGUCAAAAGGAAACACCCCGGUGUUUCUGCGCGGACGAUCGAGGGCUGCCCGCCCGAGUCCGCGGGUAGACCGCACGAGGCCGGCGGCAACGCCGGUCCUAGAUGGAUGGCCGUCGCCGGAGGGCCCGCGAGGACCCUUCGGAACAGAACCCGGCGUACAGCCCGACUCGUCUG